This 558-nucleotide ribosomal RNA is filed under the name uncultured marine eukaryote. RNAcentral describes it as "SSU rRNA". It matches the Rfam family "Eukaryotic small subunit ribosomal RNA", at positions 1 to 565 of the family's 1831-position model. The record is from RNAcentral.
UCUGGUUGAUCCUGCCAGUAGUCAUACGCUCGUCUCAAAGAUUAUAGCCAUGCAUGUCUCAGUAUAAGUUUUCACAUAACGAAACUGCGAAUGGCUCAUUAAAACAGUUAUAGUCUACUUGAUAGUCAAACGUUAUACGGAUAACUGUGGUAAUUCUAGAGCUAAUACGUGCAUAAAGACCUGACUUCUCGGAAAGGUCGUAUUUAUUAGAUACAGAACCAAUCCCUUCGGGGUUUUUGGAUGAUUCAUAAUAAAUGAACGGAGCGCAUGACUUGUGUCGGCGCUGUUUCAUUCGAGUUUCUGACCUAUCAGCUUCCGACGGUAGGGUAUUGGCCUACCGUGGCAUUGACGGGUAACGGAGAAUUAGGGUUCGAUUCCGGAGAGGGAGCCUUAAAAACGGCUACCACAUCUAAGGAAGGCAGCAGGCGCGCAAAUUACCCAAUCCUGAUAUAGGGAGGUAGUGACAAGAAAUAACACAGAGAGUGCUUAUUGCAUUUCUCUUUGGAAUGAGCAGAAUUUAAAUCUCUUUUCCACUAUCAAUUGGAGGGCAAGUCUGGU